UUUGCACACACCAAGAUGUUGCUGAAAGAGGUUCUCCAGAACCUGUUCUCCGCUUGAGUCUAGGACAUUUACAUUUGCCUUUAGCACUAAGUCCUCCCCAGCAAGAGGCUCUUCUUCUGAUAAGUAUUUGGGGCUCCUGUGAAUUCCAGCCCCAGGCUGGCUUUUGGCUCCCAUCACAACAAUGCCUCUUCCCCAGCAAGCACCACUACAGUGCUGUUGCAGCUCCUGCUAAGACAUAGGAGGACAAGGAGUCUUUCAUGCAUUUUUUAAUAGAACUUUGCUCCAAGGCUUAGAGCAGAGAUUGGCUCUGGUCCCAACUGGCCCGGGGGGGACAGCUCCCAAGGGAGGGGAGCAGGGGGGAAAGGCACUGCUUCCAGCCCCGUCAUCCCAAAGAUCCAGGAGACCUCCAAAACGCCCUGAAACCCCAGAAACUGAAGGGGGUUCAGGCUCCGAUUCAGACGCGAAUACAAUCCCAACCCCAGAAGAGCUGAGAUCUCCACCCAGCGAGAUCGAAGAGUCGGGACAUCCCGUGGGGACAACGGUUCCUGAUUUUCGAGUCUCGGGGGACGAAGGGGCGGGGGAGGCGGAAGAAUCGGGAAGGGCGGUUCGAGGGGGAUCGAAGGGGGAUGGGGAAACGCUUUCUCGCGGCGGCGCAGCGGCGACGGCGGCGGUUGUGACCGGCGGGGGGGGGCGCGGAAGCGGUGGGGAACACGAGUUUUGGUACGGGUUUUGAGGGACCCACACCGGGGGUGGCGGCCUUGGCGGGCGCCGUGCCGAAGACGCACGCGGGGGGCGAGACACGCGGGACAUCCGGGAAGGGCUCCCAGACCACAGCGUCCACGUCAGACGCGGGGAACAAGCUCGGAGCGGCUGCGGAAUUCCGAGCAGCACCCGUAAGUAGACGUAGGGGACGCAGGGCGGUGACGCAGGACCCAGAAGUCGAGCCGCGGCGGUCCGCUCGCAUCGCGGGGCAAACACGGGCACGAGCGAGGCAAGGACUGUACACACGGGCGGGGGAAUGGACACGGCAUCAGAGAAGGAGGAGAGAGAGUCAGGGACAGACACUGGGCAGGAGACAUCAGAGGAGGAGCGGGAUGGAGACAGUGACGUCAGCCUAGGGGAGACAGGAGACAUUCCCGAGAGAGCGCACGCGCGGAAAAUGCGGAGGGAGCGCAGUCGGGGACGGGUCCGAUCCCCUGUGGCGUCUCGGGCGAGGAGGGGCCGAUCUCGGGGUUCCAUAUCUCCCUCUCCGGUUCUGGUUUCCUCGGUUCCAACCCCUGUGGUUCAGACCUCUCCCAUCUCAGGGCGGUGCUCAGGUGUUCAACCUCCAUUGCUGGCUCAGUCAAAAUCCAUGCAGGCUCGAGUUCCAACAACCACAACUGCUGCAAUCAAUCAAUGCAGCUGAGGAAUAAUACAACUUUAUACAAAUUAAUGUUAUACUAAAUAUGAUAUAGAUAGAAUUCUUCUAUGGUGAAAAAUUAUUCCCAGGCAGACAAAAUGUCAUGUAAAGAUGAAAGUAUUAGUAAAGAUUCAAUUACCCAAGGUGUCCUAAAAGAGCAUUUGGGAAAGGUCAAUCAGAUCCUCUUGUGGAGUCAUCAGUUGAUACCCCAAGAUUCAAAGUUUUAAGAAUUGUUGAUAUUGAAUUUAUAAUCUUUGUUAUUUUUGGGCUUUGUAAGUAAUGCUGAUAAAUGAUUAUUAUUGUUAAUGUUGGAUGAAUGCUUUGGGAAGGUUGUGUUAACUCCUUCAAGCACUUGUUGAUGAGUUGAUUUUGUGGUGUGAGUCUUCAGAUUUUUGUGAUGAGAAUUGUUGUUGGUGUGUUGUAACAUUUGCAGCUGGCUUUCAUGUGUUUUCGUAUCUCCUUGUGCGAUCACCUGCAAGUCAUGUUUUCCUCAGGAUCCUGUCUUUCUUUAUUUCCUAACUACUUAUAAUGUUUCUGAGGGUUUUCUAUCCAGAUUGCCAGUCUUGUGGUUCUUUUAAUUAUUAUUCCAGAAGUAGUCCAGCAGAGAAUUCAAGAAGUUUGUUGUGUUUGGAGAAUCUCUGUCUUGACAGAAACUUCAGAAGGAUUCAAUUAUUUGCUGGUUUGAUUGGUUUGUAGCCCUAAGGUUUCUUGUUUAUAACUGUUGUUUUUAAAAAAGUCUUGUUUAAGAAAUGUGUUAAGUGAUACCCACCAAUUAGAGUUUGGGCUCUGGCCAAGCUCUAGCUCUAUUUGGAUGGAGUGAUUGACAAUCAACCCAGAUGUUUUCUGCAUCAAAUAGUAUUCAAGUCUUUUUGACUUGGCGAUUUGACCAUUUAUGAUAGCUGAGCCAUUUUCAGAGGGAGUUGGGGGAAACAUGAAUCCGGACAUGAUUUCUCCAAUUCUCUGUCGUUUUAAGGUUUAUCAGCUGUCGCAGACUCUGGGAUGAGAGUUCAGUGUUAUAGUGUUUAGUAAUUGUCUGAUCUUGUAUGUGUGGUUGAUUGUAUUAUCUGAAUCUAUUCCUAAUUACUGUUAUCUUACAUUUCUCUAUGUAACAUUGCAAAAUGGAACCAGGACCCAUUCUUCACCUCCAGGAUUUUGAGAAAAUCCUUCAGUCCCUGUGGGGAUGUGGGAUUUGUUUGUGUUUUAACAGGUGCAAAGUCCAGGUCGAUUUCAAUGAAGAAUGUGAAACUCUAUUGAGAGAAAGAAAACAUUGACCAUUCGGCAAGCAGAGAGGACACACAGAUGUGGAUUGCGAAGAGAUUCCAACCUUGUGCUUUAUCCACAGAAGAUUGUGGACUUUGGGCUUUUUUAUGGGUGUGGGAAUCAGUGAUAUAGAGUUUUUGCUAGAUGAUAGUUUUUUACAUUUUAAUGGGACUUGUAAUUCUUCUGCUCUUUUUGGCCAUGCAUUUUUGCAGUGCAUGUGGCAGGCCUUGAAUGAGACUGCCAAAAAGGUGUUUUCUGUGGCAAAGAGAAGGGGGAGAUGUCGGGACCCAGGACAUCUCUGGACGCCCUGGAUGUCUCAAAGCCCUGGCAGGGGCUCAGAGACCCUGGCAGGAAGCCAAAGACACCUGGAAAUUCAAUCUUAAUUCAUGGAGCAAAUUGCCAACCUUAUAUGAAGAACUACAGGCCACAAAAGUUUAAGUAGCAUAGUAGUAGGAAUCACAGGGUGAAGGGAAAAAUUUUGGAGCACUGUACAGGGGGGUUUUGUAUGUUGUACAGGGGGGUUUGAAAUUCUGUACAUGGGGGUCAAGGGUUCUAAGAUGGAGGGAUUUGGGCGUGCCCUGUCCUUCUUCUUUCUUCUCCUUGGCAUCCAUGUUCAGGAUGAUGUUGGCAUGUGUGCAUUGGUUCAUAGAGAAGGUGCACUUGCCAACAAGGGCAGAAAGUAUUGGAAAUUAAAGGUAAAUAUCUAAUACGUAGUUUUCACUAUAAAAGAGACAACCACCCCGUGGGCGGGGGAGAGUGCCCUUGGCUGUCUUGCUGAUCAGACCUCGGCUGGACAGACAGAAAAACUUUGUAGAUAAGGAACAAUAAACUCAACUGAAGACCAAAAAGCAAGAGUCCAGACUCCUUCUUCGAAAGCGCGGCCUGCCCAGAACCACCUUUUCCCGUGCUGGGGCAGAGACAAGUAACAGCUGACCCUGGCAACCAAGGAGUGAAAAAUGUUGAGGUUUUGAGUAAGGGAAAAGAGUCAACUAUUUCCAAUCCUCUGUAGCAAGCAUCAGCGGUGAAGCCUUUUAAACAACCCUGCCUACUGUCAGAAGUGUAUGUGCCAAAGAAGAGAAAACACAAUACAACAUGUCUCCAAAGAUCCGAGUUGGAAAAAAUAAUUCCAGAUAGAACAAAUAAUAUUCUUUAUCUCUUAUCUUGCUAUAUACCACAUGAGUAUGGGGAUGGAUGUUUUGGCAACAUGUUUGUUUUCAGAUUGUCACAAAUACACCCUGUGCCUGGGACAGCCUGAAGUACAUGACUGAUGGCCCUGUUCUUUAAAACAUGAUCAACUUUGUGAAAUCCAUCAAUGGGAGCUACUGUGGCAGAGAAAACAAGGGAGGCUUUUCUUAAAGUGGGUUGUUCACUGCCACUUCAUUCUAGAAUGUUUUACUGCUGGUGGAGCAGAGUACUGUGACAGCUCAUUCCUGCGCCAAGGUAACUUCAGAGUCACACUCAGAAAAUUAACAAUGGAGUACUAAGGACAAACCCAGAAGAAACAAGAUGACAAAUAUCAUGCAAAUAUAAAUCACACAGACACUCAACUACAUAAUGGAUUAAAUCUUUGAUAUUAACUUAUUUAGGAAGCAUAUGUGGGGGCAGGAGCAGUCUGUUAGCAGCACUGGCUGAGACUGCCUGCUGCAACAUUCUCUCCUCACUAUUCUAAGCUAAAACUUUACAGAAUGGGAAAAAUUUUUCAGUCUAAUGAAUUUUUUUUUCUUUUUGGAAAUUUGGCCAUAGCAACUCAAUUGGUGAAACUACAGAAAAUCACCUGUUUUUUUUGUUUUAUUACAAUAACUGGACAACUCUUUGGUUGCUGAACCUGGGUGUUAUGAAUAGAAAGUUGUAUUUUUUUAAGUUUCAGAGUUAAAAAAACCAAGCCAGACCGAGUCAGACUCCUUUAGGUUCCCUGCCGAAGAAAACGCUUAAUCACCAGUUAAUGGCGGGUGAUUAACUGAUUGUUUCCCUGAUGCUGGCCGUAUGCCAAGGAGAUACCAAGGGAAACCCUCCAGGGUAAAGAGAAUAGGCAGUGACACCAGAGACAACAUGCAAAUGAGAAAUGCAGUGCAACCUGGGUUUUUACAGUUUUACAGUUUUUAUAAGAAAAACCCCUAAAAUCACGAGCCAACAAGUGACUUAAAGUGACGUCUAAGGAUGGGAGCAUUGUCCCGUACCUGCUUGAAUCUUUUUAUUUCUCACCCUAACCUGAAAAGAAACUGAUUAAAGAGACCCCCCGGGUUUCUAAACCAACAAACCAAGGACUCAACGACUCUCCCGUGAGGACAGAGUCCCCAGUUCUGUCUGCAGACCAGUGGACAAAGCUGCAUCAUCCUCCUCCUUCGUGCCACGCCUGGGAGCAACGGCGGUGUGGGCGCAACCCGUCGAUUUCUCCCCACCUGAGCUGAUUCUUCUUAAUAAAGGCAUUAAAAAAGGAGAAAGAUCUCCUGCCCAUUUAUUUCAUGGGCUUUCCUUUAGCUUGUCUCCUGAUGUAUUUCUCUGUGCUAGAUCUGCAUUCUCAGGAUUUACAGCCAGGAUGUAGGUUCAUUUUGUACAGAAACCUUCCACCCUAGCAUCACUGUGUUUUGAGUGCUUAACUUGGCCACAUUUGUACUCUGCUGAUGGGAAGGACCUGCCUGCAUAGGAUGGAAGAUCAAGAAAGCCACUAUCUCUGCUAGAACCAGUGACAGGUAGGGGGAAGUGUAAACCACACCCCUUAUUCAGGUAAUACAGCUGAAGCACAGCUCACAAUUAUAAAGGAAGAGCACUUUCCCAAUAAAACCAAGGAUAAGGGAAGGCUGAAAGAUUGCUGAGUCAGUCCGUUAGAGCACAACACAGACUACUCCUUACUUCUGAAAAACUGCAUCCAGUCUGUCAAGACCAAGCAUCACAUGCUGCAGACCAACACAAUGGAAAUGCCACAUGAAUCUAUAGAUACUUCUAGCCUUAAAUAAGGGCUGCUCAUGACAACUGCUGUGAAUGCUUCACUUCAGCAUUCAGGCUUUUACAUUUGUAAGCCCAGCUGCUCUGCUUCCCUGUCUGCUAGACCCUGUCAUUUACAGAAGGAACCAUCAUAGCAUGGGGAACAUAUACAUAUGAAUAACUUCAUCCCUAGGAAGCUAAACCAACAGCUGUAUGGUGUCAGAGAAAGAGUAGAAAUUUCAUCUCCCUUUUUUCCAUUGCUUUAUUAUGGCAAAUGCCAUGGGAUUUCCUAUGAGCUCAAGUCCAAGGAGUGAUCUGUGAGACACAUUAUGAGGACAGCCUUGCAGAAGUGUCUGGAAUCAAAACCCACCUCUGCAAAGGCCCCCCCUAAAAAAGGCACUCACUUUUGGACACUGGGAAAUGCUCUUCUGAAUCUGCAUACAGCCAUGAAACGUGGCCACAUCCCUUGUGCUGCCUGGGGCAAGGAGAAGGAACCAGCUGAACAUCACACUGGGAACCAGGGUAAAGUGAAGUGUACAUAAACCAAGCUACAAGCUGCAAUGGAAGGAGUCACAAGUUACCUCCACAUAUAAGGAACAGAGACGUGGAAAGAUGCAAAAAAGAAAGAGCAAAACACUCAGAGAAAGAAGAGAGGAUCAGGAAUACAAAAAGAGAAGAAAAGGAGAAGAAUCACACAGCAGGAAAAGCAGAUAUUUGAAAAAAAAAAGUUUAGAAAACAGCAGGAUGUUGAAAUCAAGAAGCAAUUAGAACAGUGCUAAAACACCUGGAGACCAGCCCAGAAGUUUUGGCAGCAGGACAGCACCUCAUCAGAAUCUGCAUCAGGAAUGAUGUGAGAACUCAGUACAUCACUCCGGAUGUCCAGAGCUACCGAGACAACCCUUGGGGGGCUCGGGAGCCCUGGAAUGUUGCCAAAAUGCCUGGUGGCUUGACUUUGAUCCUUCUAAAGAAAUUACACCUGAAUGUGAGGAGAUGAGAGAAUUUCAAGUUGGAAUGGUGAGGGGAUGAUAUGCACUAGAUGCAACUUAGUUGAUAAUGCACUGUACAGGGGGGUUUUGUAUGUUGUACAGGGGGGUUUGAAAUUCUGUACAUGGGGGUCAGGAGUUCUAAGAUGGAGGGAUUUGGGCGUGCCCUGUCCUUCUUUCUUCUCCCUGGCAUCCAUGUUCAGGAUGAUGUUGGCAUGUGUGGAUUGGUUCAUGGUGAAGGUACACUUGCCAACAAGGGUGAAAAGUAUUGGAAAUUGAAGGUAAAUAUCUAAUAUGUAGUUUUUACUAUAAAAGAGACAACCACCCCAUGGGUGGGGGAGAGUGCCCUUGGCUGUCUUGCUGAUCAGACCUCGGCUGGACAGACAGAAAAACUUUGUAGCUAAGGAACAAUAAACUCAAGACCGAAAAGCAAGAGUCCAGACUCCUUCUUCAAAGCGUGGCCUGCCCAGAAACACCUUUUCCCGUGUUGGGGCAGAGACAAGUAACAGCCGACCCCAACAGAAUAACUUCUCCACCAGGGCCCCUUUAUUGCUCAAAAUACAACAGUUUUAAAGCUGGAUGAGCAGAAUGUGUUUGGGAGCUUUAUUAAAGGCUUCCAGAGAUGUCCUAUGCAGACAGAAGCUCCCUAAUCCUAAGCAAAAAUUUCAAAGCCUAUUAAUCCUACAGGUAAACUUCAGAGCCUUAUGUGCAGGGUGAUUGAGCAUUUGCCACACCAAGAGAAACAUUCCACAACUCAAAAUGCUUUAUCAGCCCACAGCCCAUGUCUACAUGGACACUAACAUAGUACUGUCAUCUUCCACAGCACCCACAGACAUUUACUUUGGUUAUUUAUUGCUUUAUGAGAAAAUGUGUGAGCUUUGAUGUUGCAGUACAAGCUGACUUGUACUGAACAUUAAUCCAGUUAUAAAUAAGAAACCCAGCCCAGUUCCAUAAACCAGCCUCUAGGCUGACUGAUAGAUGCUUCAACCAAUAACAGCUCUCCUAAAAUACAAGCAUUUUACUGGUUCAGAGGGUGUGGAGUUUAGACCAAUGACUGUUUAGAGCCAGGAGCUUUAAAUUGCCUAUAAAAGUAUGCUCCGUACAAUCAAACAGGCUGUUUGGCUGAUGUACACUGGAUGUCUGUUGUGUGUUCUCUCUGAAACACAUGGCCCCAUGUGUCAGGUGGUGCUCCUGGUGUGAGGACGAACAGUCCAAGGUUUGCCCACGGACAGAGCAGAGAGAGACACAGGGCAGAGCCUGCAAAGCCUGUCCCCACAGUGAAAAGCUGGAAAGAAAGAAGUGGGGAGAGCCCAAAUUUGCAGCAAAGGCUGCAAGAAUUACAGCUGCAGCAAAGGCUGCAGGAAUAAUAACUGCAGCAAAGGCUGCAAGAGUCACAGCCAAAGGGCUAUGUGAAAGAAGAAACCAGAGAAGCUGAAAAUAGAAGAAAAAGCCCACCGAAGAUAUGGGAAAUUUUAUUUCUGCACAGGAUCAGUGUCAUGGUUUGGCCCGGAAGUGUAUUUCUGGAAAAGUCUAGGUCAAACCAAUCAGUGGCCAGAUUUGAAAUCGUCACUUGUGGUGGCCACUGAGGUUUGGAUACACCUCUGAGAACACACAGGGGUUAAAAGCAGGAGAUUCCCAGAGAACUCCCUCUUUGGGAAUCCGGCAUUGGUGAGUGGAGUCUGAACCUCUCCCCUGCCCAGCUGUGCCUGGGUGGGGCAGGGAAGGCCAUGCGGCCUGUGGGGAGGGAGGCCAGGGCCCCAAAAGGUGCAGGGGUGGAGGAGACCGUGCAGGGGUGGAAGAGACUUGGGAUGUCUGGGCAGCCCCCACCCCCGGGAGAGAGUGAUAGAGACUGUGCUGGCAGCACGGCUGGCCAGAAGUGGGGGAUGCGGCGAGAGAAGGUGCCCGGCAGCUGUGGGAGUCCUGGGCAGACAGAGGCGAAGAUUUUAACCCCUUGGUAGAAUAAUGGAAACCUUACAAAUACUGAUCCUCCUGAAUCAGAAUGAGGAGAGAGAGAUGAGAGAUGGAAUAGGCAAGUGUGAAGAAAGCUGGAAGAGGUGAGAAGAAUCCUAGGUGGGAAGAGAUGAUGGAGUGGCCUUGAGCUGGACUCUUUCUUGUAUGGCCAUGGACAGACCCGUGUUUUUUUUCCCUGUGACCCAGAGACUGUAUUUAGGGGGAGGCAAUGCCUUGGAGUCAAGAGUGAAGCAGCGGCGUGAACAGAGAUGGCUGAGGAGGGUGUGGGAUGCCCUCUGUCUCCGUGGAGAGGAAGAUCUCUGUUCACGAGGCCCCUCAGCCCCAGGGGGUGAAAUUUGGGGGGGACUGGUGUCCUGAAGUUGAGAGACUGCUGCUUCUGGAAGUGGGUGGAGCAUCUUUAAACGGGGAACCCUAAAAGCAGUUCUGGUCCAUGUGCAGUGGUGAGAGCACUGGACAUGGCGGGGAGAAGUCACGAGGGCCGAUGUUCUCUGUGCGGGGCCAUGGGUGACACAGAAGCACAGGAGGUUUCAAUUGUGCUUCUAGGGGAAGCCUAUGGUGCAAGGGGGGACUCCUCUCUUCCUGAUGGAUUUGAGGGUUGAUUAUUUGAGGGGUGGUGAAUCUGUAGAGAAAAGGGAGGGGGGAGGAGGAAUGUAUUUGGAGGGUUUUAAUUUCUUAACUUUGUGUGUGUGUUCCUUUUUAGAUAUUGUAAUGAAUAAAGUGUUGUGUUUUUCCCUCCAUCCCCAAGUGGAAGCCUGCUUUGUUCUGUUUCCGGGUCACAUCUCACAGUAACCAUUUUGGAAAUACACCUUUCAUGGGGGCCCUGGCACUGUGCCAGGGUCAAACCAUGACAACCACCCAGUACUAAAGGUAUGGAAACUUCUUCUUGAGGAAUGGGACCUAGACUAUGAUGAAAAAGCAUUAUUAGCAUUAAUAACAUGGGCUAAAACCACGACUAAACGACACAACUAAAGAAGCUGCUUUUGACUUUUAAUACCUGGGCAUGAACUGGUCAAAUUAUAAUCCAACCAGCUUCCGGAGGUGACAAAAACGCAGUAAGAGUUAUAAAGCCGUGGAAACUUAUUUUAUAUUUAAUAAGACUGGAAAUACUGGAGUAUGUGGCGAGGGGGACACCAGACAGCUGAAGUAUUUGUCUCAGUUUGAGCUGUUACCAAGGUUUCCUCAGUUCCCUGUACUUUGCUGGUUUUCCAGCUGGGUAAGGGGAUGAUGCUGCACACACUGCACAUCAAGCUAAGCAAGGCACAACCUUUGGGUUGUACAUCUUUGAAGCUUCAUUGUUGACAAGCAACCGUGCUCAUCCUGAUCAUGGUGCACAGGAAGGGAAUAAACUAGCAGCACUGGAGAGGAGGGAGCUCUGCCCUACUACCCCAGCACAUUCUCACAGACUCAACUCACCUUUGAGAUUUUGGAGAAGAAAAUGAGAUUAAAAGAGAUGUAUCUGGAGGAUACAUGGAGGUGGUUGAACUGAGGAGGAAUAGUCAGUGUUCACGCUUUUGUGCUGCCAGUCACACAGCAUCUAAGAACUGUUUUCCUGCAUAUGCUUGCACAUGGAUGAGAUGGGAAGCAUAAGCCUCUAAAGCUCCCACCUGACCCAUUCCAACCUGGCUACAAGGGAAACUCUGAUGCCAACUGCUUCUUGAGCUGUUUCAGCCAAACUGGACAAAGCCUUCAGUAACAUACUGAUGGCAAAGCCUAUCCCCCUUAUCCUCUUCCUGCUUUCAGAGACCAUCUCCUGCCAUGCUCAGGUCCUAGUUUUGGUAGUAGAUAAGACUUAGCAGUUUCUUGAUGCAAUUUAACUACUGAAAAUAAGAUAUAGCAGCCAUGCUCCACAAUCUACUAGCAGUCCAAAGCUGAAGGAACUGGAUGACAGUGAAUUAUUUUUGUAGCCUAACAAUGGGCUGUAUAGCAUGAGUUAUAUUUUUUUUCCCUAUGUAUUAUACCCACACUUAACUAUCAAGCAAUGGAAAACAGAUUAGCAGGGAGGAGGAGCACAGAUAAUUUCUGUGUCCAGACAGCUGAUGCUAUGGACCUCCUGCUGUGAUCAGUCACUGCCCCCACCUGACCUGUCUCACAUGGCUUAUGACAAUAAUAGACAUCAAGGUUUCUAAGACCCAAACUCUCUCUUUAUACAGGGGCAAUACAAGAGUCCAGGCUUCAUCAGGCAUUGCUGCCCCAGAGAGUUCCUCACCUCUGGUUCGUGAGACAAAGCACGAAGAACAAGGCAGCAUGAAAAAUAAGAAAAGCAAAAGGCUUACCAAAUGGGUCAGUUUCUCCUCCAAGUGAAAUCAAACCUUGGGGCAGCUGUACAAUACUUAGUUUAUUAGGGAUGAUCCAAAAGUUCAACUGACUGUUCUGGCACCUGUCCUGCCUGCUUGCAUGCUCUUACAGCCUCCUUUGACAGAAGCAACUUUUUCUCCCAGCUUUUCUUGACCAAGCUGACAGACCUUUGUAUUCCCUUUGCCAUUCUGAUAACAUUAUCUGCUUUCCUCUAUUUUUUAUUUUUCUUUCUGCAUUUUCUUUUUACAUAUUGAUAUGAAAUAACUCUUCCCUUAACUAAGAUUGGGGAAUGUGUAGAAACAAGCAGACACAUGUUAAUACUAGAAAUUAAUGCCAUUUUUUAAUAGAAAAAUGUUUUGCUUCUUCCAUGGAGUAAUUUUGCAUGUGUCCACAGAAAAAUACUGAGCUGGCUUGUGUGGCACUUCUUUCUUAUACUAUGUUUAAACUUACAAACCCAUAUAAACCCUGGUGAGGUAAUCUUGAGUGUCCUAGAAAGAGAUUAAUAUCAUACCUAAAAAAAUAAACAUGUGGCUCCUGACACUAGCUUCUGUACUCAUAUUCACAAGAGACGCAAUUCCUUUGUAAUGAAAGUUCAUGACCCUAUCCUCAUUCUGUCCUAACUUCUUACUGUGCUCCUUAAGAUUACACCAGUCUACUUUGAGGACACACAGGGCUGUAAUUUAGGCUGGUACUUCCUGACCACCUUGUCAGUCAUGUCAGUCUCAGGCCCCACCAGUGGUGUCCUGAGACAGGUUUGUGCUGGAAUGACAGUGAGGGAGUGAAAAAAAGCAUUUUGUCAAGGGCACAACCAUUAUUCGCUUUCUCUUCUUUUUUUAGCUUCUUUCUGAGGUUUAGGAAGUGGUGAAACAGUGGGGACAGACCAUCAUACAAAGUAAGACUGGGCCUAGAUCUUUGGCUUCUUCUCAAGAGAGCUUAAUAUAGUAAACCUUCACGUUUUGAAGCCUUAAUGUCUUGUGUUCAGGCAAAAUCUAAUCUGCUUACUUGAAAAGAUGAACACAGAAAGUGGAAUACUCCAAGACAGAAUGAGUACUUCUGAACCUGGGUAGCUGCAAACUUUUCUCAGUAUUAAUAAUUCCUAUUUCUGCCAUGCUUGACUAAAGAAAAAAAAAGAAAAACUACAAACUGGGAAAAAUAUUAAAACCAUUUGUCACCACAAAGGCUAUACUACCGAGAGACAAUAUCCUUGGAUGAGGGCAAUAAAGAUUUUUGAAACAAACAAAAAUCUUGCUGUUCACUUUAUAAAUGUAUGACUUUAAUUCAAUAAUCCUUUUCUAUAAAAUAAGUGGUGCAGUUUCUAAGCAGCACAUUAAUGAUUUUCUGAACUGUAUGUGCAAUGAUUCCACCAAAUUCACAGUGGUACCAGGACACUCAGCUCACUCCAGGAUCCCAAGGCCGUUAUGAGCAAGGGUGGUAGUUACAGCCUCAGGCAAUGCUGUUGCUCUGCUUGAGAUGAAAUUAUAUAUGCAUUGGUAGUUUGGCAAGAAAUAAGAGAAGCUGUAUGCCCAUACAUCCUGUCCUUUGGGAUGCUUUCUACAGCAUGCUGCUCACAGUGCUGCUACAGACUUGUAUAUAGGAGAACUGAGUUAAAAUCUAGGAAAAAGUCUACAGUGUAUACCAAAACUAUUAGUUAAUCAUCAGCAAUGACCGCAUUUAGCACAAGCCACACAUGAGCACAAAAGAACAGCUGUAGGUACAAUACCUCCACACAAGCCCAAAAGCAGUGGUAAAACCCAAUGGCUUUUACUGUGCUUGCUCAUAGAGCAAAUUGCAGCCCAGCUAUGCCCAAGCCUGCAACAAUGGGAUGAGGAGCACAGCUGGCAACACAGUAGCCCAGAUCAUGUAGAGGGCAAGGGAGAACAGAGCAGGACUGAGAGCUGCGCAAGGAGAUGUUCAUGAGUUCAAAAAAGCAGAGCAGGAGCCGCCUUGAGUCAGUGUCCUCUUGCAGAAGAUGGUUAGAUA
Passer domesticus (house sparrow) is the source of this 12810-nucleotide long non-coding RNA. RefSeq lists it as uncharacterized. The record is from RefSeq and is a predicted model, not a curated record. Lineage: Eukaryota; Metazoa; Chordata; Aves; Passeriformes; Passeridae. The transcript has 4 exons.